AACGCGAAGAACCUUACCUGGUCUUGACAUCCACGGAAGUUUUCAGAGAUGAGAAUGUGCCUUCGGGAACCGUGAGACAGGUGCUGCAUGGCUGUCGUCAGCUCGUGUUGUGAAAUGUUGGGUUAAGUCCCGCAACGAGCGCAACCCUUAUCCUUUGUUGCCAGCGGUCCGGCCGGGAACUCAAAGGAGACUACCAGUGAUAAACUGGAGGAAGGUGGGGAUGACGUCAAGUCAUCAUGGCCCUUACGACCAGGGCUACACACGUGCUACAAUGGCGCAUACAAAGAGAAGCGACCUCGCGAGAGCAAGCGGACCUCAUAAAGUGCGUCGUAGUCCGGAUUGGAGUCUGCAACUUGACUCCAUGAAGUCGGAAUCGCUAGUAAUCGUGGAUCAGAAUGCCACGGUGAAUACGUUCCCGGGUCUUGUACACACGC
This 434-nucleotide ribosomal RNA is filed under the name uncultured Escherichia sp. RNAcentral describes it as "bacterial SSU rRNA". It matches the Rfam family "Bacterial small subunit ribosomal RNA", at positions 958 to 1393 of the family's 1533-position model. The record is from RNAcentral. Lineage: Bacteria; Pseudomonadati; Pseudomonadota; Gammaproteobacteria; Enterobacterales; Enterobacteriaceae.